CGGCGAGUAGAGCGGCAAGAGCUCAGAUUUGGAAUCGUGUUUCGGCACGAGUUGUAAAUUGCAGGUUGGAGUCUUUGUGGAAGCGUGUGUCCAAGUCCCUUGGAACAGGGCGCCAUUGAGGGUGAGAGCCCCGUGGGAUGCGCGCGGAAGCAGCAAGGCCCUUCUGACGAGUCGAGUUGUUUGGGAAUGCAGCUCUAAGCGGGUGGUAAAUUCCAUCUAAGGCUAAAUACUGGCGAGAGACCGAUAGCGAACAAGUACUGUGAAGGAAAGAUGAAAAGCACUUUGAAAAGAGAGUGAAACAGCACGUGAAAUUGUUGAAAGGGAAGGGUAUUGGGCCCGACAUGGGGAUUGCGCAUCUCUGCUCCUUGUGGGCGGGGCGCUGUGCUUUUCCUGGGCCAGCAUCGGUUUUUGCCGCAGGAGAAGGGGUACUGGAAUGUGGCUCCUCGGAGUGUUAUAGCCAGUGCCAGAUGCUGCGUGCGGGGACCGAGGGCUGCGACAUCUGUCUCGGAUGCUGGCACAACGGCGCAAUACCGCCCG
This 537-nucleotide ribosomal RNA is filed under the name Pichia aff. pseudolambica EXF-7983. RNAcentral's name for it is "eukaryotic LSU rRNA". It matches the Rfam family "Eukaryotic large subunit ribosomal RNA", at positions 87 to 651 of the family's 3401-position model. The record is from RNAcentral. Lineage: Eukaryota; Fungi; Ascomycota; Pichiomycetes; Pichiales; Pichiaceae.